Mugil cephalus (flathead mullet) is the source of this 910-nucleotide long non-coding RNA. RefSeq lists it as uncharacterized. The transcript has 3 exons. The record is from RefSeq and is a predicted model, not a curated record. NCBI's taxonomy places the organism in Eukaryota, Metazoa, Chordata, Actinopteri, Mugiliformes, Mugilidae.
GGGGGCGUGGCCAGCGGCUGUUGUUACUGCGGCUUCAUCCAAAGAGAAAAGAGACACUGAGCGAAACAGGGCGACACUCUCCUCACAAUAGUUGUGUUUUUGGUCAGUAAGCGGAUAUUUUGUGACAGCACGCAGCCGAGCCGAUGUUGGCCAUUGUUCUAAACAGGACGGUAUGUGAGCUGAGAGAGGAUGAGCUGAGUCCUGAUGAUCCAGAGGUUGAAUCAGCAGCAGCUUGUGUGUAGAGAGACUCUGACUGGACCAUGUUAUGGGAGGUGGAGUCAAGAGGAGAGCUUCAUCCACAUGUUUCUCCAUGUCAGACCAGUGGUGUAGUCUAUGUGAUACGCAGGUAUACGCCGUAUAUCCACUAGAAAAGCUCCUGAAUUGUCGUCUAACGGCUGAAAAACACACAACGAUGCGUAUCAGCCUGGUUUAGUGACAUAACUUCACUUUCCCGUUCAUAAAUGGACCUUCUCUGUGUUACCAAGCGUUCACUUUUGGACCAUGGGGGCUUCCGUCAAGCGUGACGUGGACCCGACGUUAACUACUAAGGAAGCAGUGAAGUUGUGCGGCGGCAACGAGUCGACAACUUGAACUGGUCCAACGCUCGUCAGUGGAGAAGGAAUGUGGAGAAAAAACAAUGAGAAGAAAGAAAAGGAAGCCCAGUAACACUAUUUGAGAUGGUAGGGAAGGAGAGCUGAUGACGCUGUCGUCCUACCUGGUUGUGUAUCUGCACUGCAACAAAAUCCACAGAGGAAAGGGCGUCUACAUCUGAGGAGUGGGUGUCCUUUAAAAUCCAGUCCUCAGACACAAACCACAAACAGCUCUAGGUCCUUUUUCUUUAUUUGAAACUUAUUUGUCUCGUCACUGUCUGUUCAGUGGUUAAUUAAAGUCCAGCUGUUCAUGUCUGUUA